Small nucleolar RNA from Psammomys obesus (fat sand rat), 129 nucleotides. RefSeq annotates it as small nucleolar RNA SNORA30/SNORA37 family. The record is from RefSeq and is a predicted model, not a curated record. The transcript has a single exon. NCBI's taxonomy places the organism in Eukaryota, Metazoa, Chordata, Mammalia, Rodentia, Muridae.
CUAGCACUUUUCACAGGUCCUCCCUUAGUCAGUGGGUCGGGAUUUGGUAGCUGGUGCUGAGAGAAAAUCCUUGAUUACAUCCUUGCCCUGAUACUAUACCAGUGGCAGCUGUUACUCAAGGGAACAAUG